This is a non-coding RNA of Leptonychotes weddellii (Weddell seal), 375 nucleotides long. The record is from RefSeq and is a predicted model, not a curated record. NCBI's taxonomy places the organism in Eukaryota, Metazoa, Chordata, Mammalia, Carnivora, Phocidae.
UGGUCUUGUGGGUUCUUGCAACUAGACAGGCCCAUAAAAGCUGGAGAAGGAAUUAGAAACCAACAGAAAAACUGCAUCCACCUAUUCGAUCAACGUUUACUGAAUUCUUAUUUUGGACAAGGCCCUGUGCUAGUAGGUGGAAAUAUGAAGAUAAAUGACACAGGUCCUGCUCAGACCUAAUGGCAGAAAACUAGAAAGACAACCAAAAUGACCGAGAUUUUGGGAAUUCUAUUGCAUGAGGAUUGACCCAAAUUAACUGAAAUCCCGCAUUUUAUGUGGCAAGGGUUAAGUGAAAUGUCAAUAUUAGUUGCAAUGUAUUAAGUGACUUCUGAUUGCCAAACGCCAAAUAGAGGUAAAUAAAUGAUGUAACUGAGA